Molecule: ribosomal RNA, 492 nt
Filed under: uncultured bacterium
Lineage: Bacteria
Description: partial 16S ribosomal RNA
Rfam family: Bacterial small subunit ribosomal RNA
Source: RNAcentral
AGUGAACGCUGGCGGUAGGCCUAACACAUGCAAGUCGAACGGCAGCACAGUAAGAGCUUGCUCUUACGGGUGGCGAGUGGCGGACGGGUGAGGAAUACAUCGGAAUCUACUUUUUCGUGGGGGAUAACGUAGGGAAACUUACGCUAAUACCGCAUACGACCUACGGGUGAAAGCAGGGGAUCUUCGGACCUUGCGCGAUUGAAUGAGCCGAUGUCGGAUUAGCUAGUUGGCGGGGUAAAGGCCCACCAAGGCGACGAUCCGUAGCUGGUCUGAGAGGAUGAUCAGCCACACUGGAACUGAGACACGGUCCAGACUCCCAAGGGAGGCAGCAGUGGGGAAUAUUGGACAAUGGGCGCAAGCCUGAUCCAGCCAUACCGCGUGGGUGAAGAAGGCCUUCGGGUUGUAAAGCCCUUUUGUUGGGAAAGAAAAGCAGCAGGUUAAUACCCCGCUGUUCUGACGGUACCCAAAGAAUAAGCACCGGCUAACUUCGUG